RNAcentral lists this unclassified non-coding RNA (285 nucleotides) under Hevea brasiliensis (rubber tree). The record is from RNAcentral. Lineage: Eukaryota; Viridiplantae; Streptophyta; Magnoliopsida; Malpighiales; Euphorbiaceae.
CAAAUAAGGCUGGGGCUUUUCCUGUUGCAAGUAUUAAUAAAUCACCAUCAUAAAAGAAUUGCUGAAAUUGGCUCUCAGAAUUCUCAAUUAAUUUGCAAGGGUCAACAUAAUUUACAUAGUGUCCACCAAGUGUGUGCAUUUACAGACACACUGAACAGACACUUGAUUUUGAAGAUAAGAAUUUAUGAAAGGACAGUAUGCCGCAAGGAAUAUCACAACCAUCAAAUAAGCAUCACAACUGUGAGGUCUCUAAAUAUUUCACCUCGUACUCCAAACCAGAUGAAG